RNAcentral lists this unclassified non-coding RNA (537 nucleotides) under Hevea brasiliensis (rubber tree). Lineage: Eukaryota; Viridiplantae; Streptophyta; Magnoliopsida; Malpighiales; Euphorbiaceae. The record is from RNAcentral.
AUUGAUAAGGCAUAUCUCUAGGACCGCUAAAUCCUUCCUUACCCAUUUCUUCCUCAUUUGCUAUGUCUUCCAAAAAAGGCGGAGUUUCACUACCGGAUCGUCCCGGUGCUGGCGCCGGAGCCGGAGAUGGUAUCCUUUCUAGGUUUUCAUCAUCCAUAUCUGAAUCACCGAUUGUGUACCAAGGGAAGCGAGCCGCUUCCGAUGUCGCAUUUGUAGCCAAGAAACUUUUCAAGAGUACCGGAAAAGCCGCCUGGAUCGCCGGAACUACCUUUCUGAUACUCGUUGUUCCGUUAAUUAUCGAGAUGGAUCGCGAUGCGCAGCUCACUGAGCUCGAGAUGCAACAAGCUAGCUUGUUGGGAGCACCUCCUCCUGCAGGAGCAAAGUGAGGAUUUUGAUUUCGUUUUUUUUUUCUGUCUUUAGGUAAGAGAAUUCAGGGAUAUUGAUUACUUUUUUUACUGUUUUAGAAACCUUGCAAUAAGACUAUGCUAUGGAAUUUUCUAAUUUAGGGUUUUGAAACCCAAUCCGUAUAAUGUGCUC